RNAcentral lists this unclassified non-coding RNA (400 nucleotides) under uncultured fungus. Its description in RNAcentral is "sequence contains ITS1". The stretch from base 1 to 93 matches the Rfam family "5.8S ribosomal RNA", at positions 50 to 154 of the family's 154-position model. Lineage: Eukaryota; Fungi. The record is from RNAcentral.
UAGCUGUGAUAAGCGGUGUGAAAUGCAGGACACGCAUUCGAACGCAUAUUGCGGCCUCGGGUCUUUCCCGGGGCUUCGUUUGUCUGAGGGUCGGUAUGAAAUUAAACACAUUGUACAAGUCUGUCUCAGUCGAGUAUGCCUCUGUAGCUGUACUCGUCAGACUCAUCCCGACACCAGACCACGAGCUAAGGCUCAGCGAUCUAUUGCGUUCGAAUGCGUGUUGUCGUUCACUCAUCGGCGACAUACGGCGCGAACACUACACGUUCCGCCGUGCCUUUGACUGUGUCCGACGCCUAAGACACGUUCAUUCACUAAGAGCGUACGUUGAGCUAGUGGUCAACGGUGGCAGAACACUGAUCUAUCCACGAUCAACUCUAUUCUGUCGACCUCAGAUCAAGCG